This 496-nucleotide ribosomal RNA is filed under the name uncultured bacterium. RNAcentral describes it as "partial 16S ribosomal RNA". It matches the Rfam family "Bacterial small subunit ribosomal RNA", at positions 30 to 523 of the family's 1533-position model. The record is from RNAcentral.
AUUGAACGCUGGCGGAAUGCUUUACACAUGCAAGUCGAACGGUAGAGGGGGCAACCCCUCGAGAGUGGCGAACGGGUGAGUAAUAUAUCGGAACGUGCCCAGUCGUGGGGGAUAACGUAGCGAAAGUUACGCUAAUACCGCAUACGAACUAUGGAUGAAAGCGGGGGAUCGCAAGACCUCGCGCGAUUGGAGCGGCCGAUAUCAGAUUAGGUAGUUGGUGGGGUAAAGGCUCACCAAGCCGACGAUCUGUAGCUGGUCUGAGAGGACGACCAGCCACACUGGAACUGAGACACGGCCCAGACUCCUACGGGAGGCGGCAGUGGGGAAUUUUGGACAAUGGGCGCAAGCCUGAUCCAGCCAUGCCGCGUGCAGGAUGAAGGCCUUCGGGUUGUAAACUGCUUUUGUACGGAACGAAAAGGUUUGGCUUAAUACGUUGAACUCAUGACGGUACCGUAAGAAUAAGCACCGGCUAACUACGUGCCAGCCGCCGCGGUAA